Neodiprion fabricii is the source of this 14252-nucleotide RNA transcript. It is a transcript of the gene named protein muscleblind, with no coding region annotated. The record is from RefSeq and is a predicted model, not a curated record. The transcript has 12 exons. Lineage: Eukaryota; Metazoa; Arthropoda; Insecta; Hymenoptera; Diprionidae.
AUACAUUUAUGUAUUCGUUAUUUUCCUUCCUCCGAGGUUUAUUGUCGUAAAAUGUUUCUAAUCGCGCGUUAAUAAUCAAAAUAAUGUUUAUCAACAUCGUCGUCGUCGUCGUCGUCGUCGUUGUCAUCAUCGUGGUGGAAAGAAAAGGCAGAGAUAAUAUUUCGUAACGGGGUGAUAACACAGUCUGCGCUUCUUGUUAAUCCCAAACGUUGUGACUGCGAACUGCAUACAUACAUUGGUUAUCCAAAUCAACAUCGUAUUAUGCUUGUUUUAAUAAUGACAUCAGAAAGGAACGAAUAAAACGCUGAAAAAACUUGUGUCGCAAACGGUUUCUCGAUUGGUGUGAUUUUCUGUGUUCUCGUGGUCAAAGUUUCAUUGGUUAGCCGUUGGCUGUCAACUGAUUAAACAACAUUACGUUAUACUGGUGCAUCUGGCGAGUACAUAAAACGUCAUAUCGCGAAACGUAUGUUACAAACGAACAGUACAUACGCGUGAACAAUUGUAAAUUUUUAUCUUAAUUUUUAUUCAUAUUUCAUUCCCCACGGUUUUAAUCAAAAGUUAUAAACUAUCGCGAAAAAGUUUGAUAGUAAGACUUGGUCGAUGAUAAAACCUAAGAAACAGUCAACAGAACGAGGACAAAUCCACCGACUCGAGCCAGUUUCGAAUUGGUCGUAAAGAAACUGAUACAAGCAAAAAAAAAAAAAAAAAACACAACACAAAACACAAGAGGAGAGAAGAAGCGAAGACCAGCAGCAUCGAUAACAUAAAUAUACACGUGUGUGUAGUACAAAGGAUAAACAAGAAAGUAACGAAAAUACGAAGUAAGAAAAUAUAAUGGUGCUGUAGUUUUAUGAAAGAUUAGAAUCGUUGGGCCAACGUCGAGAGCGCGGAGCGUGGAACUCGUGAUAGCGUUGCGAGGCGGCGAGCAGCCGUUGGAGUAACCAACUCGUGGUACUGAGUCGGCGUCAUCGAUGACUUGAGAAGGAGAGGCGAGGAGCGGAGCGAAGGAGGCGGCACUCGUUCGCCGGAAUCGUUGCUCGAGUCCCGAGCCCAAGUCGUGGCGGCGUCAUACCGGUAGAAAACUGUGCGUGCCUGCGGUAGCAACAGCGGCAGCGAUACAACGGAGGUGUUUGUAAUCGUACUGGUUUUCGGUUUGAUUCCGUGCGAUGAGUAUCACGUGAACAAUCGGCCUGUGUGCAUCGCUCGUCGAGUGCCGCGUGUAUAAUUUAUCGCUUCGAUCGUUGUUGUUCCCCAGUCCCUCGUUUUCCUCUUCGAUUAUUUGUGAAUAUCGCGUUCCUACCGCGUUUUUAAAACUGACGUAAAACCAGCCGAAGGGGGAUAUUCCGAUUCAGUUUCCACUUGUUCUUCUUCGCUACUUCACCGUUUGCAGAACUCGUAGGAGAACAACAAAGGCUCAGUGGUUCUUGAGACGUGAAAGAAGAAAUAUACACACAUAGAAGAAAGGCAGAGAGAAAGAGCGAAAAGGAGAAAGUGAGCGAGGAAGAGAGAUAGAAAGAAAGAGAGCGAGAGAGAGAGAGGGGGGAGAGGAGAGAGAGAAAGAGAGAGAAAGUAUAGUUUAAACAAAGUUGAUAACAGAGAUAGAAAGUAGCGACGAAAAAGGCGUUAAAACGAAAAAGAAAAUACAACUAAAUACGCAUGAACACAUGAAAAAAUUUGUGCUUUUUGUUCCGCGAUUAAAAUAAUAUAUCGAAUAGAAGUUGAAGUUUGGUGAUAAAGCAGUAAAAAGAAAAACAAAAAAAAAAAAAAAAAAAGCGAAAACAAAAACCUUAACAAACAAAAACUAUAUAAAGAACGAGAUAUAAAUAAAGAAAUGGCGAUGGUAAACAUGAAUAACCUAUUGAACGGAAAAGAUUCGAGGUGGCUACAGUUGGAAGUGUGCCGAGAGUUUCAACGUAACAAAUGUACGAGGCCUGACACGGAGUGCAAAUUUGCACAUCCACCAGCCAACGUUGAGGUACAAAAUGGACGAGUCACCGCUUGCUACGACAGUAUCAAGGGUCGAUGUAACAGAGAGAAACCACCUUGCAAGUACUUCCAUCCGCCACAGCAUCUUAAAGACCAGUUACUAAUCAACGGUCGGAAUCAUCUCGCGUUGAAAAACGCCUUGAUGCAUCAGAUGGGCCUUACACCAGGACAGACCUUAGUGCCAGGCCAGGUGCCCGCUGUGCAGGAGGUGACUGCACCACCUCCUUCGUCACACCAUCAUCAUCUCCAACAGCAAAUCCAGCAACAGCUCCUCGCUACCCACGCCUUUAUGGCGACGAAUCCGUACCUGACAGGAAUGCCGCAGGUCGGUAGCACCUACAGCCCGUACUUCGCGCCUGGCCCCAUAAUGCCAGCGAUAAUGGGUCCAGCCGACCCGACGGGGGGCGUCGGAAGUCCGCUUGGCGUAGUUCCGCAGACGGUCGCCGUACCCCAGAAAAUGCCAAGGAGCGAUCGACUCGAGGUAUGUCGUGAGUUCCAGCGCGGGGCGUGCAAACGCGGCGAGACGGAGUGUCGGUUUGCGCACCCCCUGGAGACGGUGCAGGCGAACGAGGACGGCUCUGUGACGGUCUGCAUGGACGCAGUCAAGGGCCGAUGCAAUCGAGACCCCUGCCGCUAUUUCCAUCCCCCUCUGCACCUUCAAGCCCACAUUAAGGCCGCACAAUCUCGGGCUAGCAUUGCGCAGACGGCGACUGUGCAGACGAAUGUACCGGGAAUGGGCACCGUCGCAGGAGUGCCAGGAGUGCCAACGGGACUCCAGAACGCAGCUGCAGCGGCCGCUGCAGCCAAUAUGGCCGCCGUCGAACUCGGCAAGAAACGGAUGCGCGAUCCCAAUGACGACCUGCUAAUGAUGGACAUGAAAUCAGUCGGGUCAUUCUACUACGAGAAUUUUGCCUUCCCCGGAAUGGUACCGUACAAACGUCCAGCCGGCGACAAGUCGGGCAUGCCUGUGUACCAGCCCUCGGGAGCGGCGACGACCUACCAGCAGCUGAUGCAGCUACAGCAGCCAUUCGUCCCCGUCUCAUUUACUGGACACCCUCCCGGUGUGCCAAGAUUUUAAUCGUCAGUUAUGCAAUCGACCAGCCUGCAAGUUCGUCCAUCUACAUGACGGAAGCGUAGAGGUGAUCGACAACCGUGUCACGGUAUGCCGAGACGCAGCUAAGGGUGCCUGCGUACGUCCCCAGUGUAAAUAUUACCACAUACCGGUAUCUCUACCACCGGCACCCCUGAUGGCGUUCUCAGCAUCGGUAUCAUCGUCAUCGCCGUCGUCAGCAUCAUCAGCAUCAUCAGCAUCACCUGCAACAGCCUGCGGCAACACCAUUCAAACGUCAGCAAGUCGUAUAAGUAAUAAUGCUAACGUAACGUCGUCGAAUGCCGUCGUUUUCGCGGCGGCGACUAUCAACGAAAAAACGAACAGCAACGCAGCUUUAGCCCUGCAGUAGCUAUAAAAUAAUAAUCUCUUUGAAUAAAUAUUAGAAGGAAAGAAAAACCUUGAGCAAAUAUUGAAAUCGGAAUAUACAACAGAAAACAAAGAUAAUAAUGAUAAUGAUAAUAACAAUAAUAAUUAUAAUAAUAAUAAUUAUAAUAUACAAGGUUGUGUGUGUGUGUGUAUAUAUAUGCACACACACAAACACAUAUACAUAUAUAUGUGCAUACAACUUCACGUUCACAAUAGAAAAACAAACGAAUAAAAAAAUCGAAUACGUAAAAAAGUAGGAAAGACAAAUCUCAAAAAAAGGACUCUAAAAAAAAAAAAAACUUUUUACCAACAUAAAGAUGGCGAUUUUAAAGGAUAAACACGAAAUUUUAACACAGUAAGUACCAUAUGUUAUAUAGAUAUAAUGUAAUAUUAUAUACUACAAUGAUAAUAACACUGAAUCUCUCUCUAGGUUAUCAUAUAUAAAAAUAUAUAUAUAAUCUAAUUGUAUGAAUAUCAAACUGGAAUUUAAAAUGAAACGGAUAGUAAAAAUUUAAUAAUUUUAAAGCUAACAAAAAAAAGAAAAAACACCAAGCUGCACAGAUCAUUAAAUCAUAAAACUCCCUUCCCAGAUUUUAAUGACUGUAUAGGCCUAUUGUUAUGAUUGUCAUUACUAUUGUUAUUUCAAUGGUGAUUCGUAUUAUUAUUAGUAUCAUUAUUAUCAUUAUUAUAGGCAUAUUUAAAAAUAAUGUCUGAGGAAAACGCGAAAAAGAAUAAUAAAUUUGGAUAAUUGAAUAGUUAAAAUUAAAGAAUAAAAAAAGUAAAACAAAGCAGUGAAACAAGCAACCUAUACAAGAUUCGAAUCUGUGUAGAAUGGACCGUCCUAUCGCCGCAUGUUUUUACGAAAGUUCAACCCCUCUUCCCUUCUCCCAAACCCUCAUCAUUAUCCCUUAUCAAUCGCAACGAAACAACGGUCUAUACAUGGGGCCGUUUAAAUAUUACAUCACGCUUUCGGGAGGGUGUGCAAAAUUGCCGGAAAUAGCGUGACGUAAUAUUUUAAUGACCCCUAACUAAUCAUUCGUAGGUACACAUACGUAUAUACACUCGAGGGGAAAUAAGGUUUUUGUUUAUAUAUAUAAUAUAUAUAUAUAUAUAUAUACACACACCGAUGAUUGCCGAUUAUUCAUUCUUCUUUGGUUCGUUUUUGUUCGUGGUGAUAAUAUGUUGAUCUUAAUUUAUUAUUUUAACGAUAUAUUAAACGCAUAUGUAUAUGUGCAUAUUACUCGUAUAUGUAUAAUGAUGACGCGGUAUUGGAUACAUGCAUUCGUCUAUAUAUGUAUGUGGUACGUACAGACACACAAAACACAGAAACACACACACACACACACACACUCUCACACGGAGAAGAAACACAUACUGGUGCUAAAAUAAUAUCUCGUUCGAAAAUUUUUUUUUCCGGUUCUCUGAAUGAUGAAAUAUUCAAAGUUUCGAAGCAGCGCAUGUAAUGUAUAUAAUAUGAAUACGUACUCGUAGAAAAGGAUAGAAAAUGGAAAAAAAAAAUUACGAUAUAAAUAAAGGUAAAGAGAAAAAGGAAGGAGAACGACAGACGGAGCGGAGGGUGAUGAUAUGAGAAAGAAGUGAAAAAAAACAAAAAAAAAAAAAAAACUAUUGUUCCUGAUGCGUUGGUAUCAACCGUCGUACUUUAUCAUUAUCAUUACUAUAUUCUAUUUUUUCUCAUACUCUCAUAUUUUAUCGACAUCCAAUAUUAUAUCCGUUUUUUUUUUUUCGAGAAACACAUAUAUUUUUACUAUUCUUAUUAUGACAAUUCUUUUUCAUCUAUUUUUCUCGGAAACCCCCCGAUGACUAUUAAUGACUAAUUAACCAUUAUCACUAUAGAUGAUAUAAACUUGUACGAAAUAAUCUUUAGUAUUUUGUUUAUUGCUCGUACGAUUUCGUUUCACGUUUUUUUUUUUUUUUUUCCAUUUUAUCAAUUGUCUUCGUAAGUUGAAUUUUAAAUUCGUGUACCAAGUAAGGAUUUCAUAGGUAUCAUAAGUGCGAGGAUAUAUAUAUAUAUAUAAUAAUAAUAAUAUAUAUAUAUAUAUUAUUGAUAGAUAUAUAUUGUAUAUGUAUAUAUAUGUUCUUUAUACUACAAGAAAACUCUGAUUAAAUUUUCGGGUGAUUAUACACGUUAGAGAAAAAAAAAUACUUAUUCAAAAUCAUUACGUACUUUUAGUUUCUCUAAUAAUAUAUUAUAUUGUAUAUCCAAGAUAUAUGAUUAUUAUUAAGAAAAACAGAAAAAAAUUAAAUAAAAUUAAAAAUAAAUAACCUUUCAUUAUACAUGUAAUAAUUGUAUAGUAAUAUAUUAUAGGUGGUUAUUAUUAUCAUUGUUAAUAUUAUUUGAUUUUAUUAUUAUUAUUAUUAUUAUUGUUGUUGUUGUUGUUGUUGUUGUUGUUGUUGUUAUCAUUAUUGUCAUUUUUAUUAUUACGGUAUAUGUGGCAUAGACUAGCUAGGGUCCGUGCGCGGACCACGCAUUUACGAAUCAGAUGAUCCUCAUUUUUAUACUCCUAAAGUAAAGCGCGAAAAGAAAAAAAAAAAAAAAACGACUUUGCAACGGACAAAAAACGAAACGUGUAUAAAUAACAGUAAUCGUAUAAAUUAAAAAAUCUCCCACCCCAAUACUACAUAUUAUAAUGCACAUGAUGUAUAAUAAUUAGUUGAUUAAUUGGUAUGAUUAUACAUAUUUACUUACCGAGGGGUAUAAAAUUAACUAAUUGACAGACUAGUAAACUGAUCAAUCCGUUGGUCAAGUAAUACUUAUACUUUAAUAUGAUGAAUGCCGGAUUAUAAUAUUAUGAAUAACGACAACGCGGUGAUUAAUAAACUAUAUAUAUAAAUUAUUUCUCGAAUAAUAAUAGUAAUAAUAGUAAGAUAGAAGUUAUAACAAUAAAAUAUUAAUAAUAAGAAAAUUGUGAUCAAAGAGAAACGAAAUGAAAUUUUAUUAGAUACAUUUGGGCAGAAAGGAAAAGAGUGAGGCAAAGGAACUUUGAACAAACUUUUUCAGUAUUAUUUAUUGUUUUAAUUAUUUUUUUUUUUUUUUUCAAAUUUGACUUUAUAUUUAUCUUUGUUUCUUCUGUGUUUCUAAAAUUCCUCAUAAGUUAUACAAAUACAUGGACUUACGUUCUAAUUUAAAGUAGAUGUAAAGUACACAAUAUGAAGCCUUUACGAUAAUAUAUGAAAUAUUCUUUAAUAUUAAUUAGCAUUAUCAUUAUUAUUAUUAUUAUUAUUAUUUCAUCGUUGCUACUGAUUAUAAAAAUUAGAUUCUCAAUUAUUAUGUAUACAACAUUCUGUUCUAGUAUAUUUGGAUCUGUUUUUUAAAAUGAUAAUAAUAAUUGUUCCCCGUCGUGAUAAAAAGAUAUGUUACGUCGAUUUUUACACCAGUGUCUGUUUCGCAUGUUUUCGGCCUCGGAACGCAGAUGAUAAUACAUGCAUUCUCCUCGUGCCGGAGAUGAUAAAGCUGAUGAAAUCAACAUUUUUCAAAUUUGAUAAAGGAUUGACGAGAACGAUUCUCCUAAAAUUGCGAGGUGGAUCGAGGAUCGAAUAAUGGCCACCGGUGCCUGCACAGUUGUUUUUGGCUGCCGUCACCGGGAAUCGAAUUGAUAAUUCUUGUUCGCUCUCUUCGGAGGUGUAGUGUGAAUUCACCCGACGAAUAUGCGAUUGAGGAAUUAGUUUUUCAACUUGAUCCUUUGAACGGUACCAUACUUUCGAACUAGUCAUGUUGUCGUAUUAAGUUAGGUUAGAUUAGAAGUUCGUUAGUUCUGGGAAUGAACAGAAUCCAGACUAGAAAGACCUCGUUUUCGCCAAUCUUGAGAUAUAUUUUACAAUAAUUUGAUUUUUUAUUUCUUUUUUUGUUCUCUCUACAUGUCGACUCAGGAGCAGAAAGCUUGUGUACAGAAUAUUACAUACGUGACGAAGCUGUAUGACAUGCAUACAACAAUCACAAGUGAUUGAUAUUCAUUAACUAAGUAAUUGAUUAACUAACUGUCGACAUAAAAUUGAAUAAUAAAUCACUAUUAUUAAAAUAUCGUAUUAUAUCGUAUGACGCAUAUAAAUGUUCCUGUACAGCAUUUAAGAAUCAAGUAUAUACAUAUGUAUGUAUAUAUAUAUAUAUAUGUGUAUAUAUAUAUAUAUAUAUAGACAUGCUACUCUCGAUGUAAGACCUAAUACAUUUUAAGAGAAACAAAUGGUAAGGACAAGCAACCAAAGUAAAGGAAACAAUUUUUAAACAAAUAAAUAAGGAUCUUAACGGGAGUGAACGAAAUGUGGAAUUGAAACUUUGGUAUCAGUAUGGAAAGGUUUGCUACUCAAUAGUUCAACGGUAUACUGUUUAUUGUCUGUGAAAAUAACAAUACAUCAUUAUUAUGUUACAAUAAUUAUGACUAAUAUACAUAUACGGUAUGUAGUUUUACUUAACGUAAAAUUAUAUACCUACAUUUUCAAUAUACUUUCAUAUACAUUAUAUGUAUACUACAAUUAUAAAUUGUAUACACUAAAUAUUUCAAAAUUCUGUUCUCCUUUUAUUUACUUUCAACGUUUAUGGCGAGAGGUGGGAAAGGGGGAGGAGAUUUAUUCAAUUCUAAUUAUACACGAUAUCAAUACUUGCAUCGUUUUAUUAUUUGUUAUUGAUUAGGAAAUAUUUUUAAUCUUUAAUAGUAAUGUGAUAUACGUUCGCAAUAAUAACAGUAAUGAUAAUGACAUUAAUAAUAGUAAUGAUGACAAAUUGAUUGAUCGAUUAACGGCAAUGAUAAUAAUAAUAUUUAAUCACUGUAUGCAGAUUCAGAACACUUUAUGACGAUCGAAUGUCUUGCCCUUCGAUACCAAAAUGUAAAAUUGAUCGAUACAAUUAAUACAGCAAGAAACAGAAAAUCAAAUGAUCGAUUGAUUAAUCGUUGAACUUGUAUGUCCAAAACGUGAUUGCUGCGUUUAUAAAACGUUAUUCCGAUUGAAGUCUGAAACGAGAGAAGAAUACAUAUAUAUAUAUACAUACAUAUAUAUAUAUAUAUAUAUAUAUACACAUACUAUACAUAUAAGUACGUACACAUAUAGAAAGAAAAGCAUAACAAAAAUAAUAAAAUGAAAACAAAUAAGUGGAAAAAUAACAUUGAAUAAAACGUUUGAAAUUGAACAUCAAAGCGUUAAAAAAAAUAGUAAUGUUAAACCGGUGUAGGACGGAAUCAGUGACAGUUUUUCAGCCUCUCAAUUCCUUAAGCCUAACCUAACCUAACCCUAAAUUAACCCUCAUCAAUUCCACUUGAAGUCAAGGGGCUUUUUGCGAGCAGCUGGAAAUGUUUCCCAAUGUAAUUUUCAAAGAAAAAUAAACAAAUAUGUGCGUAUAACAUGCUUGUGUAUACAUGACUCAAGCCCGCGCACAAAAUUCUCGUAAUCGAAAAGUAAUAAUCGCCGAUUAAUAAUUGUCUAUUCUGUGUACACAUGAUUUGAAAAUAUACGAGAACUUGGUCUAGAAAAUUAUUACAUACGAAUGAUAAAUUUGAACCAUUCGUCAAAUAUGGAAUGCGUCUUAUUCUUUCUUACUGUUUUGAAUUAAUUUCUAUCGCUGAUUGAUCAUCAAUAUCGGGAUAAACGAUCUCUGCAUGGUACAUUCUUCAUCGAUGUUACACACAGAAGCUACGUCAAACGAUUCGCUUGAGGAAAUUGUUACGCGCUUUCAAUGAGGAGACUUGAUUCCCGCCAUAUAUCGAAAAAAUGCGCGGGCUUGCGCAUGCGCUUAAGAAACGGCGCGAAAUUUUCGCAUCCUCUUGAUUCUUUUUGCUGCGUCGUUGUUUCUGCUGCUCCAGCUGUUAAAUUGCGUAAUCAAAAAUACAUACGCGGUGUAACGGAAAUUAAUAAUUAGUUUGUAGAGGUAUAAAAUUAUACCUGGUAUCCAAAUAUCGAUGACAUGAAUACCGAUGAUAAAUUGUUCGAUAUCUAUUAACGAUGGAUGUAUGGGAAGAAAUCUGUUACGUGUUUUUCUUUCUAUUUUUCUUCAAUUUACUUAAAGUUUUCUUGCAAUUAUUAUUCUGAAUGUGUCAUGCUUAUUUAAAAGGACGUCUGCGGUAAAUAUCUUGCUUAUUACUCGACCUAAACGCGGCCAUCGUUACUGCCUAGGACCUACAUGUUAUUAAUAUAACCUAUUAAUAUAAUACACAUAGAUAUAUGGUAGCUUAACGCAAUCCUGGCAUAAUAAAAAGUUAUAACCUAGUACAUAACAAGUGUAUGAUAGCCUAUACAAAAUAUUUAAGUAUAGCUUAAUAAACUAUUUCAUCUCGCUAUAAGUAGGAAUUAGAGGUUAGUUUACUACACUGUCGAUGUUGUUCAGCUACAUUUAUUAUUAUAUCGUAUAUUAUUAUCCAUAGCAUAAUGCUUAUCGCUAUAUUUAACGUAUAUAUUUAAGCAUACAAGUGCAAGCAUCCAUGCUGAUGUUCCACAGCACCUUGCACUUCCGCUUCCUGCUGCCGAUGAGACAAUUCUGUAUGGCGCCACCAGACGGCAAAUGAUCUAACUUUAACUUAUAGUGAUAUGUUGAAAUAUUUCCAACUUUUUGCAACUUCCAAAAAUCAAAAUAGAAUCUUUUCAAAUAGCAUAUGUACCUAGUAAACCGUAUCGGAUUGAGUAAGGCGAAAAUGGAAUUGACAGAAUUGAAAUGAAAUUAAAACAAAUUCAAAAGAAUUGGUAAUUAAGUCUUUAGAAUUCGCUUCAAUUCGAGCUAAUUUCUUUUUUGGACGUACUCAAUUCCAAGCAAUUCGUUUUGGUUCACUGGGUAGAGCUGCGAUCAAUCCGGCUUCUGCUUUACAUUAUAUACUGUGGCGGGAUGCUUCACAUACACCCCCCCCCCCCCCCUCUCCUUCACCCCGGCCCCUGGCUCCAAGUGUUUAAAUUAAUCGAAAGGGAAACAAGAAAUUCCAAAAAAUGGAUUGAAAGAACGGCAAUGAGGGAAAAUAAAUAUCUCGGUGUAAUGGCAACGAUAAUAAUAAUUGGAAUGAAAAUUAGAAAAUAUAAUUCAACAAAAAGAACAAGAACAGGAAGAUGAAGAAAAAGAAGGAAAGAAAAAUUGUAUCCCUGAAGUGAAAUAAACUCUGUGUCCGCAGAAUAAAAGACAUAUACAGUAUAUAUGAUACAAAUAAAUGCACACAUAUGAAUCGGUAAUAUAUACAUACGAUGGUAUGAUAAUAACAGUAAUACUAAUGAUGCUGAUAAUAAUAAUAAUAAUAAUAAUAAUAAUAAUAAUAAUAAUAAUAAUAAUAAUAAUAAUCAGGUUUUGAACUUGUGCAAAGUAUAAUUGCAUGGAAUAGUUAUAGGUACAUAUAGUAUUAUAUAUAAGAGAGGCAGAGAGAGAGAGCGAAAGAGUUAGUACGAAAGAUAUAGAUAGACAGCUAGUUAGGUGGCGAGAGUGAGAAUGAGACAACGAGAGAAAGGGAGAGAGAGAAAGAGAGAGAGAGAGAGAAAAUCUUCCUUCGACAGCAUUUACAUAUGUUAUAUAAAUAGUUAUACAUACCGUGAACGUCUUUCGAAGUGAGUCACUUGUAGCAAUUAAUGCAUGAAGGUCUCGGAGUCGUCUCGAUUAAUUGACAAUUAGUCAAUUAGCUACUUAGUCGUUUCGAUUACCUCUACAAUUAGCCCGCUUCGUGAGAUAUUCACGCUAUACGUAUACUUAUAGCGCAUAACUGAAAAUUCACAAUCUAUAUUGAAAUUAAUACGAUCUUCUGUUAUAUAAUAUGCUAAAUAAUGAUAAAAAAAAUAAUAACAAUAAUAGUAAUAAAAACAAUAAUUACGAUGAUGACAACACCAGUUUUCUAUAAUACACUUUUUUCUUUUGUGUAUAAUAUUUGUCGAUAGUAAGUUGUAACUACGCUAAAUUAUAGCGAUCGUACAAAGCGUAAGGAAGUAAAUUUUUUUAUUACGAACACCGUAAUAUUGAUACUUAUGAUAACAAUAAUAAUAACAGCAAAAUAAUAAUAAUAAUAAUAAUAAUAAUAAUAAUAAUAAUAACGUCGGUCACACCUAUAUUGACAGUUAUAACUAUAACGAUAAAGAUAGUAAAAAAAUAUCACAAUAAUAAUAAUAAUAAUAAUAGGCAAUAAAACCGCGAUUUUGCGACAAAAUACUUACUUCGAUGAAAAAGGAUAAACCAGAAAAAGAUGUGGCUUAAGACGAAGGAAAAAGUAAGAAACGAAUAUAAGAAUUAUUAUACAAUCUCUGAAGCGAAAUAAAAAAUGUUUGUUAUUUUCAAAUGUAAUUAUUAGGUUACACGUACAUAAAAUUAACAAUAAUUCGAAAAGCGCCUAGCGAUUCCAUUCAUAGACUGUAUACAACGAUAAGAAAAUUAUAUACAUUAAUAAUCGUUUACUGUAACAACGUAUAUAAGGUAAAUUAAAGAAAGACGAGAUAACAACAAAUAAGGAUGGAAAUAAAAAAGUAAUAUAUCCUCCAAGUAACUACAACUAAUCGUGCAUAAAAAUGUAAACUCAAAGAGAAUAAAAAACAUGACAAAUCAAUUAUGUAUAUUUGAAUGAAACAUGAAAAUCAGUCACGUGCGUGGUGUAAGAGAAAUUGACACGAAACGUAAUAAGAAGCGUAGAUCCGCAUCAUGGCGCUGAAGCGAAGGUUUUCAAAUGUCAGUUACACGUCGUUCUAGCGUGAAUUAUGCGAAUACCAAUGUACAGGAAUUUCGUGCAGGUUAUCAGACUCAUAAUUUCUUACGCUGAGUUGACAUGAAGUGAAAUAUGGGAUAAAGAACAAGGUUUAUAAUUAAAUAUGCGGCCAUGAAUUUAGGGUUUAAGAUAUCUUCUGCCGCCAGAUGUCACGCUACCACAGUUUCAUUACUAAUGGAAACCUAGUACACCUAAUACACACUCAGUAUAAUAAAAUAUUACCAUAUAUAUUAUUUUUUGAACUAGAAUUUGAAAUAGAAUAUUAUACCAUAUCCAUGCCAACUUAACCUGGGUCUGACCCUUGACCUCUACGAUUUGGCUCGCGAUUUUUUACACUAUUGUUUCGACUCUCGACGGCAGUAAUUUUUUUUUUUUUUUUCAUUACGAAUUCUUCUAAUCGAUUUAAACUAUCUAAAAUUUCUUAAAACGAACGUAUUGAUUGACACAAUUUAUAAAUCUGUAAUAAUUCUGAAAAAUCAUGAGUUAGGUGUAAAAAAUGUUCAGCUUUGAGCUGAGGCGGCCGUUGUUCCCUUCUUUGUUUCGAGCUUUCUUCGAAACAAGCAUUAACAAAUAUUAGAAGGAAGAGUCAGUUUACUACGGGCGGUUGCUCUAGACAGACGUUUCCAAAAUAAUUAAUAAUUUGCAAUUUGUUUAUCUUGCAGAAUAACAAUCUCUUCGCGAAAUGUCAAAAAAAAAAAAUGUUUGAAAUUAGUGCUUUCGAGAGUUAAAACAAUCGUAUAAAACAUCGCAAGCAAAAUCGGAGAGGUCAAGGGUCAGUUGGGAUGGAAUGUCCUAUAUAUAUAUAUAUAUAUAUUUACUUGUAAGAUAAACUUAAUAAUUAUUUUAGUGGCAAGUGUGCAUCAAAUAGGGAUUUCUUAACGAGUGUAAAUUUCCGCAUGAGCCGAAGGCGAAGGUGAGCGCGAAUCUCACACGAGUCAAGAAAUCCCUAUAUGCGCACAUGCCAUGAAUCCAAUUUUCUUAUGCUACCUCCGAUCAAAAACUACAAAGUAGUCGAGUUGUUGGCGGAGGUAGCGCUGAAAUUAUAAUUAGGUAUACAUUGUAUGAUUGGAAUAUCGUCGUACAUGUGUAAAAUAAUAUUGUAGUAUAUUAUCAUAGCAUAAAUAAUACCUUUGUAUGGUGAUUAAAAAUUUCGGGAAUUGUUCCGUGACUAUGACGAAAAAUCAAAAACACUACGGUUGACAAAAUAAGAAAGCAAGACGAAAUUUGAAUCAUUUGUUAUUUCUUUCUAAUUCUUGGUAUAGUUUUUAAUUUGUUGGCAAUUCUUUUUUUUCACAUUUCUCAAUUGUAUUCAAUUUUUUAUAAUCACGAUAAAAAUGAAUUUGAAAUAUCUUCCGCAAUUAUACAUUUUAUUGUUAUAUAAUGUAUUAUUAAUAUGAAUGUACCUCAUAUACCCUUAGUAUAUACCUACGGUAAGAAUGAUUCGGAUUAUAAAUAACAUUAAGUAUAAAUCUAGUGUGACUAAACAUAUAGAAUUAUCCAUAUACAACAUAAUUGGUAAUGAGCGAUCGAUUGCUACAUCUUACUCAUGUUACUAUUAUUUAUUACGAUGAUUGCUGUUGUUGUUGCGAUUAUUAUCAAUAUUAUUACGAUGACUACUACCACCACUACACUAUUACCACUACUACUUAUACUACUACUACCUACUAUUACCACUACUACUACUACUACUACUACUACUACUACUACUACUACUACUAUUACUACUACCAUCACUACUACUGGUACUACUGUGACUACUAUUACUACUUUUACUACUACUACCUACUACUACUUAAACUAUAUAACAAAAUAUCAUCUGGCGUCCCGAGGGAGGAGAAAAGGGAAACAGAGAGGGAAAGAGAGAGAGAGAGAGAGUGAGAGAGAGAGAGAGAGAGAGAGAGAGAAAAAGCCGAAGAUAGCAGGUUAUUAUUAUACAUUUUUUUGAAAAUCGCGAAUAUUAUAUGCCGACUGCGUUUAGAAAAUCUUUUGAAAGAACUUGACAAACACGAUGAACUCUUAUAUUUUAUUAUUAUAUACAUGGCUGUUAAGGCGUGGGAAAUGAACGGAAAAAAACUGAUUGAAAUGAAAUAAAACAACGACCGAGAAAAAUGAAAGGAGACAACCAA